RNAcentral lists this long non-coding RNA (333 nucleotides) under Mustela putorius furo (domestic ferret). RNAcentral's name for it is "lncRNA (ENSMPUG00000028028.1)". The record is from RNAcentral. Lineage: Eukaryota; Metazoa; Chordata; Mammalia; Carnivora; Mustelidae.
GCAAGUUUUUAGUAGUGGGGCUGUUAGGUUAAUGGGUAUAUUUAUUUUCAUUUUCAUAGGAACUCCAUGUUGCACUCUACAGCAGUUCCCAGCAAUGUGUGAGAAAGUCUGCCUCCCCACAUCUCAGCCAGACAGCGUCUCUCUUUUGAUCUCCACCAUUCUAAGCGAGCCUGGUGAAGAAAUAUCUGUCAGAGGGAGACCAAGAACAAAGACUCUGCCUUCAGAAAUGAAGUCGGUGUAUAAGGAACCGUGAGAUGGGUAUUUCGCAUAGGUAAGAGAUUCUUAAAGUAUCUUUACCCAAGUCCAUGAGUUCCUUUCAGAGUGACUGAAGUG